Molecule: ribosomal RNA, 30 nt
Filed under: Pseudotrimezia pauli
Lineage: Eukaryota; Viridiplantae; Streptophyta; Magnoliopsida; Asparagales; Iridaceae
Description: partial 28S ribosomal RNA
Source: RNAcentral
GGGGACACCCGCUGAGUUUAAGCAUAUCAA